CGGGGAUAAACCCGGGAAACUGGGUAUAAUACCCGAUAGAUCUCGGCUGCUGGAAUGCAUCGAGCUCUAAAGCUCCGGCGCCUAAGGAUGGGUCUGCGGCCUAUCAGGUAGUAGUGGGUGUAGCGUACCUACUAGCCUACGACGGGUACGGGUUGUGAGAGCAAGAGCCCGGAGAUGGAUUCUGAGACACGAAUCCAGGCCCUACGGGGUGCAGCAGGCGCGAAAACUUUACAAUGCUGGAAACAGCGAUAAGGGGACCUCGAGUGCCAGGUUACAAAUCUGGCUGUCGUGAUGCCUAAAAAGCAUUGCAUAGCAAGGGCCGGGCAAGACCGGUGCCAGCCGCCGCGGUAACACCGGCGGCUCGAGUGGUAACCGUUAUUAUUGGGUCUAAAGGGUCUGUAGCCGGCCGGAUAAGUCUCUUGGGAAAUCCAGCAGCUUAACUGUUGGGCUUUCAGGAGAUACUGUCUGGCUCGAGGCCGGGAGAGGUGAGAGGUACUUCAGGGGUAGGGGUGAAAUCUUGUAAUCCUUGAAGGACCACCAGUGGCGAAGGCGUCUCACCAGAACGGACCUGACGGCAAGGGACGAAAGCUAGGGGCACGAACCGGAUUAGAUACCCGGGUAGUCCUAGCCGUAAACGAUACUCGCUAGGUGUCGGCCAC
This 659-nucleotide ribosomal RNA is filed under the name uncultured archaeon. Its description in RNAcentral is "bacterial SSU rRNA". It matches the Rfam family "Archaeal small subunit ribosomal RNA", at positions 121 to 781 of the family's 1478-position model. The record is from RNAcentral.